RNAcentral lists this ribosomal RNA (539 nucleotides) under uncultured Defluviitoga sp. Its description in RNAcentral is "bacterial SSU rRNA". It matches the Rfam family "Bacterial small subunit ribosomal RNA", at positions 33 to 590 of the family's 1533-position model. Lineage: Bacteria; Thermotogati; Thermotogota; Thermotogae; Petrotogales; Petrotogaceae. The record is from RNAcentral.
ACGCUGCGGCGUGCUAACACAUGCAAGUCGAACGGUCUAAGCGCGAGCUUAGGAUAGUGGCGAACGGGUGAGUAAAAGGUAGGAAUCUACCCCUUGGACGGAGAUAGCUACUGGAAACGGUAGGUAAACUUCGAUAAGCCCGAGAGGGGAAAGUGGUGAGACAGCCGAGGGAUGAGCCUACUCUCCAUCAGGUAGUUGGUGAGAUAAAAGCUUACCAAGCCGAUGACGGAUAACCGGUGUGAGAGCAUGAACGGUCACAAGGGCACUGAGAGACGGGCCCUACUCCUACGGGAGGCAGCAGUGGGGAAUCUUGGACAAUGGGCGAAAGCCUGAUCCAGCGACGCCGCGUGGAGGAAGAAGUCCUUCGGGAUGUAAACUUCUGAACUAGCCGAAUAAAAGGCCUGUGGACACACAGGAGAAGAAAGUAGGCUAGGAAAAGUCCCGGCUAACUACGUGCCAGCAGCCGCGGUAAGACGUAGGGGGCAAGCGUUAUCCGGAUUUACUGGGUGUAAAGGGAGCGUAGGUGGUGAAGCAAGUCA